RNAcentral lists this ribosomal RNA (434 nucleotides) under uncultured bacterium. RNAcentral describes it as "bacterial SSU rRNA". It matches the Rfam family "Bacterial small subunit ribosomal RNA", at positions 96 to 518 of the family's 1533-position model. The record is from RNAcentral.
CGGCGGACGGUGAGUAACACGUGGACAAUCUGCCCCCCGGCCCGGGAUAGCCCAGGGAAACCUGGAUUAAUACCGGAUGAGACGGGACCCGCGAUGGCGGGAUCCGGGAAAGGCGCUGCGGCGCCGCCGGGGGAUGAGUCUGCGUCCCAUUAGCUAGACGCGGGGUAACGGCCCACCGUGGCGACGAUGGGUAGCCGGCCUGAGAGGGUGGACGGCCACAUUGGAACUGAGACACGGUCCAGACUCCUACGGGAGGCAGCAGCUAAGAAUCUUCCGCAAUGGGCGAAAGCCUGACGGAGCCGACGCCGCGUGAACGAAGAAGGCCGUGAGGUUGUAAAGUUCUUUUCGGGAGGGGGAACAACCGUGGCAGGGAAUGGCCGCGGGAUGACGUGAAUCCCGGAAUAAGCCCCGGCUAACUACGUGCCAGCCGCGGC